AAAUAGGCAUGUACAUACACAUUGUAAUUAAGAUUGAAGAAAUGAAAUUGAGAUUUUCUCUAUCCUUCUCUCUGUAACCGACUCAAGCUCUCAUUCUCUAACCUAGCUCCAUUUCCCCUUUUAAUAAGGUCGAAUGCAAAUAAUACAAAGUCAUGCCAAUAUCGUAGAGUUUUGUGAAGAAUUGAAUAAUCACAAAGUCAUGUCAAUUGGAUAGAGAUUAUGAUCAGUUAACAAUAUAGGUAGAGUAAAUAUCGCAUAGUAUCUACCAAUCCGGUAGUAAAAUCACCGACAAUCGAUAAGUAUACAUGAGGCCGAAGAUUAUUUUCUACAUAUAUUAAAAACGGGAUAAUAUUUAAAGACCGGUCUCUUAUAGGAUCAUCCCUGCCAAAUGUCAAUCACCCGAUAGCAGUAGCUUCAUGAAAAAGCCCACCCGUAUAGUCCAGGUUCCUAUCGCUGUCAGCCUUGAGAACAAAUAAAAGAUUCGUAAGUAGUAACGACAAAUCUGUAGGUGAAAGGAAGUUCCAUUUGACCAAAAAAAAGAAAUAUGGAAUGUUAAAAAAUAGAAAAGAAAAAAAAGACUUCUUUAAUAGUGUUAGUUCCUUAUAGUAUGUAUAACCUGUUGUAAUAUCAAAAGAUAGACCUAAAAAUGCUCAAAUAAUUUCUUGGGGAAAAUGAAAAGUAUAUUAAAAACAUGUGAAUCCUAAUGCAUAAGAAAAGCGAAAACGUGAAAAAGAAAAAGAAAAGCAAAUACCAUGAACAUGAACUACUCGACAUUCACUGUUAGAUUUGGAUUUAUUUGGCAUUUGGGCCAGGAGUCGGGUAGGUUUUUGUUAGAGGAUUUGAUCCUCCAUUGGAGGGCUCAGCAGUGUGGGUAUUCUCCAAACCAAGAACUCAGC
This 896-nucleotide long non-coding RNA is filed under the name Nicotiana tabacum (common tobacco). RNAcentral's name for it is "long non-coding RNA (NTAB_LNC014649)". Lineage: Eukaryota; Viridiplantae; Streptophyta; Magnoliopsida; Solanales; Solanaceae. The record is from RNAcentral.